Molecule: ribosomal RNA, 484 nt
Filed under: uncultured bacterium
Lineage: Bacteria
Description: partial 16S ribosomal RNA
Rfam family: Bacterial small subunit ribosomal RNA
Source: RNAcentral
AUUGAACGCUGGCGGCAUGCUUUACACAUGCAAGUCGAACGGCAGCGCGGGCUUCGUCCUGGCGGCGAGUGGCGAACGGGUGAGUAAUACAUCGGAACGUGCCCAGUAGUGGGGGAUAGCUCGGCGAAAGCCGGAUUAAUACCGCAUACGACCUGAGGGUGAAAGCGGGGGAUCUUCGGACCUCGCGCUAUUGGAGCUGCCGAUGGCAGAUUAGCUAGUUGGUGGGGUAAAGGCCUACCAAGGCGACGAUCUGUAGCUGGUCUGAGAGGACGACCAGCCACACUGGGACUGAGACACGGCCCAGACUCCUACGGGAGGCAGCAGUGGGGAAUUUUGGACAAUGGGCGAAAGCCUGAUCCAGCAAUGCCGCGUGUGUGAUGAAGGCCUUCGGGUUGUAAAGCACUUUUGGCGGGAACGAAAAGGAAUGUGCCAAUACCACGGUUCGAUGACGGUACCCGAAGAAUAAGCACCGGCUAACUACGUG